GGAGGUCUCAGCUGGCUCACCAGGCUCUCACUUGUCAGCCGGUUUGUCAGGUUUCUGCGCCUCCACUCCGAAUCCCCGAGAUCAUCCCUGUGGUUGGAGUCCUGCGGCUGGAGCCGAACGUGCCGGGGAGGGUGUACUGUCAUGGAUGCUCUGUCUCCGGCGCUCUAGGUCGUCAUGCUCCUGCGCCUUGGCCGGAUCGACAGGUUCCUGCGCCUUAGCAGAGGUGACCAGUCCGCUCCUGAUCCCCGGGAUCAUCAUCUUGGUCAGGGAGGGGGUACUGUCUCCCUGAACUUGCUUCCCGACUCUCCGCGUACAUUGUUACACGCCGGUGGUAGCUGGUACAAUGCAGGAAAGUGAGGUUCCGGAGGUCCCUCCGCCCCCUCUGGACAUCGAGGGGUCCCCGGCGUACAUGAUAUGGUGCAUUCUGGACUCCAGACGCCGGGUGAGGGGCCUGCAGUACCUCCUGGACUGGGAGGGUUACGAGCCGGAGGAGAGGUGCUGGGUCCCGGUGGGGGAUAUAUUGGAUCCCACUAUACUAAGGGAGUUCCAUCGCCUCCAUCCGAAUCACCCUGCGCCUUGCCCCCCGGGUCGUCCCCGAGGCCGGUAUCGGCACGCUGCGGGAGCCGCGCGUCGGGGGGGGUACUGUCACGAAUACCACCAAAGGUUGCUCCCCUUCCUGCUCGGGUGGCGCUCGGCGGUCGUCGUCGCCGGUCUAUUAGCUGCCACCGAUCCCUUUUUCCUUUUCAUUUGUUUUUGUCUAAUUGUUUUCAACUGUUCCUUGUUGGCGUUUUGGGAUGGGUGUUAUCUAAGUUUGUUUUGCCAGCUGGUGUUUGUGCGGGCUUGUUGGGUUUGUCACGUUUGUGGUGUAUCGUCGGUUUUGGGUUUUCGCUGUCCGGGUUUGUGUAACUAGGUAUUGGGUUUGGUUUGCACCUGUGUUUUAGGGCAUUCACACAUGUUUGGACCUGUUACUUUGUUAAGGACAUUAAAGUAUUUUUUCCCAUUAA
This is a long non-coding RNA of Oncorhynchus tshawytscha (Chinook salmon), 1004 nucleotides long. Lineage: Eukaryota; Metazoa; Chordata; Actinopteri; Salmoniformes; Salmonidae. The record is from Ensembl.